This 468-nucleotide ribosomal RNA is filed under the name uncultured bacterium. RNAcentral describes it as "partial 16S ribosomal RNA". It matches the Rfam family "Bacterial small subunit ribosomal RNA", at positions 28 to 507 of the family's 1533-position model. The record is from RNAcentral.
GACGAACGCUGGCGGCGUGCUUAACACAUGCAAGUCGAACGGAGAGGCCCUGCUUUGGUGUGGUGCUCUAGUGGCGAACGGGUGAGUAACACGUGAGUAACCUGCCCUUGACUUUGGGAUAACUGCAGGAAACUGGGGCUAAUACCGGAUAUGAGCUCCUGCUGCAUGGUGUGUGGUGGAAAGGUUCGGCGGUUGGGGAUGGACUCGCGGCUUAUCAGCUUGUUGGUGGGGUAGUGGCUUACCAAGGCUUUGACGGGUAGCCGGCCUGAGAGGGUGACCGGCCACAUUGGGACUGAGAUACGGCCCAGACUCCUACGGGAGGCAGCAGUGGGGAAUAUUGCACAAUGGGCGGAAGCCUGAUGCAGCAACGCCGCGUGCGGGAUGACGGCCUUCGGGUUGUAAACCGCUUUCGCCUGUGACGAAGCGUGAGUGACGGUAAUGGGUAAAGAAGCACCGGCUAACUACGUG